AGAGCUUGCUCUUAUGAAGUUAGCGGCGGACGGGUGAGUAACACGUGGGUAACCUGCCCAUAAGACUGGGAUAACUCCGGGAAACCGGGGCUAAUACCGGAUAAUAUUUUGAACUGCAUGGUUCGAAAUUGAAAGGCGGCUUCGGCUGUCACUUAUGGAUGGACCCGCGUCGCAUUAGCUAGUUGGUGAGGUAACGGCUCACCAAGGCAACGAUGCGUAGCCGACCUGAGAGGGUGAUCGGCCACACUGGGACUGAGACACGGCCCAGACUCCUACGGGAGGCAGCAGUAGGGAAUCUUCCGCAAUGGACGAAAGUCUGACGGAGCAACGCCGCGUGAGUGAUGAAGGCUUUCGGGUCGUAAAACUCUGUUGUUAGGGAAGAACAAGUGCUAGUUGAAUAAGCUGGCACCUUGACGGUACCUAACCAGAAAGCCACGGCUAACUACGUGCCAGCAGCCGCGGUAAUACGUAGGUGGCAAGCGUUAUCCGGAAUUAUUGGGCGUAAAGCGCGCGCAGGUGGUUUCUUAAGUCUGAUGU
RNAcentral lists this ribosomal RNA (537 nucleotides) under uncultured Bacillus sp. RNAcentral's name for it is "bacterial SSU rRNA". It matches the Rfam family "Bacterial small subunit ribosomal RNA", at positions 75 to 595 of the family's 1533-position model. Lineage: Bacteria; Bacillati; Bacillota; Bacilli; Caryophanales; Bacillaceae. The record is from RNAcentral.